GUGUCAGCCGCCGCGGUAAUACCAGCACCCCGAGUGGUCGGGACGAUUAUUGGGCCUAAAGCAUCCGUAGCCGGUUCUGCAAGUCUCCCGUUAAAUCCAACUGCUCAACAGGUGGGCUGCGGAGGAUACUACAGAGCUAGGAGGCAGGAGAGGCAAGCGGUACUCAGUGGGUAGGGGUAAAAUCCGUUGAUCCAUUGAAGACCACCAGUGGCGAAGGCGGCUUGCCAGAAUGCGCUCGACGGUGAGGGAUGAAAGCUGGGGGAGCAAACCGGAUUAGAAACCCCUGUAGUCC
This 292-nucleotide ribosomal RNA is filed under the name uncultured bacterium. Its description in RNAcentral is "partial 16S ribosomal RNA". It matches the Rfam family "Archaeal small subunit ribosomal RNA", at positions 455 to 747 of the family's 1478-position model. The record is from RNAcentral.